UCUGGCUGUAUUCUGGAGCGUUUCCUCAUGGGCGUCGCAGUUCACACACGUCACGGAUUCCGCCGAAAGAGUCGAUAAUUAAAACUGAACUUUUGGAUCGGAUAUAUGAAGACGCGCGCUGCAUUUUCCUUGACGGAGACGCACAGCUCUGACACUAGACAAUAUUAUACACUCAAAGGGACCGCGUUUCGCCGGAAGAAUAAAUAAUUACAAAUGGUAUUCGUCAGUGAACAUUUUCAAACUGGGAAUAAUAUAUCAUAAGCAGAUUGAAAUGUG
Molecule: long non-coding RNA, 276 nt
Organism: Metopolophium dirhodum (rose-grain aphid)
Lineage: Eukaryota; Metazoa; Arthropoda; Insecta; Hemiptera; Aphididae
Exons: 3
Source: RefSeq, a predicted model, not a curated record